GCCGGGUGUGGUGGCACACGCCUGUAGUCCCAGCUACUCGGGAGGCUGAGACAGGAGAAUCGCUUGAACCCAGGAGACAGAGGUUGCAGUGAGCAGAGACCACGCCAUUGCACUCCAGCCUGGGUGACAAAGCGAUACUCUGUCUCAA
This is a non-coding RNA of Gorilla gorilla gorilla (western lowland gorilla), 148 nucleotides long. It matches the Rfam family "Metazoan signal recognition particle RNA". Rfam says of the family: The signal recognition particle (SRP) is a universally conserved ribonucleoprotein. It is involved in the co-translational targeting of proteins to membranes. The record is from Rfam. Lineage: Eukaryota; Metazoa; Chordata; Mammalia; Primates; Hominidae.